Molecule: long non-coding RNA, 826 nt
Filed under: Triticum aestivum (bread wheat)
Lineage: Eukaryota; Viridiplantae; Streptophyta; Magnoliopsida; Poales; Poaceae
Description: long non-coding RNA (TAES_LNC012818)
Source: RNAcentral
UCCCUCCUCACCGGCCGCCGCUCGCCCUACUCCGACCGCCGCUCGCAGCGCAUCUACCAGGGGUGAGUUCGAGUGUCCCUUCUCACGGCCAUAUUUCGCUCAUGUGCUCUGGUUGCUCUAGUUGCUAGAUGGCCAAUCUAUUUCAUGAAUUUUUGUAAUCUCGUUCCUGUGCUUUGGUUGCUAGAUGGCCAAUCUAUUUCAUGAAUUUCCUGAAGAAGGAAGACUAUUAUACAUGCAAUGUUGAGUGUGCUUUGUGCUAUUGUUUAGAUUCAGGUUGUGAAAGAAAGCAAACCUUCAUGCUUAUUAUUGUCCUAAUUAAGUGACUUGUGAUGCUUGGAUUUUAUAGGAUAAUUUGUACCUCAAUUCCUAAUGCUGCGUUUCGUUUUCUACUAUCAUUGCUAAAUGGUUGCAAUACAGGCAUGUGAAGAAAGGUGGGGGCUGAGGUUUUUCUUUGUUAUUUCUAUUUACUUACAUUGCUUUGCCUAAAAUGAAGGUACUCAUGUCCUGUGUAUCACAAUCGUCGUUAUAAAAUGCUUAUGUAAAAGUGGAACCGCAUGCUUGAUAUUUAGUAUACUAUGUAUAAUUACCUCCUGAGUAAUUGAUGAUCGUGGCAGCUUUUGGGGUUCAUCUACUGAUGUAUCAGUACCUCCUAUGUAUAGUUGUUCAUGGAGUGUAAUUUUUUUUGUGAAGCUUGAUUGGCGACUUGUAUGUUUGAAUGGGACAUCUCAUUUGUAUGGACAAAAUAAAAUUUAUCAUGUUUUGGACACUUGAUUUGUAAAGAUAAUUUGUUUAUGUCAAUUGUGAGCCGGAGGAGGCUACACAAGAG